Molecule: ribosomal RNA, 480 nt
Filed under: uncultured Alphaproteobacteria bacterium
Lineage: Bacteria; Pseudomonadati; Pseudomonadota; Alphaproteobacteria
Description: bacterial SSU rRNA
Rfam family: Bacterial small subunit ribosomal RNA
Source: RNAcentral
GUACGAUUAGCUAGUUGGUGAGGUAAUGGCUCACCAAGGCGACGAUCGUUAGCUGGUCUGAGAGGACGAUCAGCCACACUGGGACUGAGACACGGCCCAGACUCCUACGGGAGGCAGCAGUGGGGAAUAUUGGACAAUGGGCGAAAGCCUGAUCCAGCCAUGCCGCGUGGGUGAAGAAGGCCCUAGGGUUGUAAAGCCCUUUCGGCGGGGACGAUGAUGACGGUACCCGCAGAAGAAGCCCCGGCUAACUUCGUGCCAGCAGCCGCGGUAAUACGAAGGGGGCUAGCGUUGCUCGGAAUUACUGGGCGUAAAGGGCGCGUAGGCGGCCAUAUCAGUCAGGUGUGAAACCCCUGGGCUCAACCCAGGAACUGCACUUGAGACGGUAUGGCUUGAGGUCGAGAGAGGAUGGUGGAACUCCCAGUGUAGAGGUGAAAUUCGUAGAUAUUGGGAAGAACACCGGUGGCGAAGGCGGCCAUCUGG